GCAAUACCCAGAGCAUGCUGCUUUUUGAAAAAUAUCACAAACCAAAACCCUGUAUACAAAAUGUGUUUUAUAAUUCACUAUAGACUUGGCUGCAUUUUUGACCAGGAAUGAAAAAAAAAAAAAAAAAAAGGAAACCAUACAAUCACACACAAAACAAACUCCAAA
Molecule: long non-coding RNA, 165 nt
Organism: Bufo bufo (common toad)
Lineage: Eukaryota; Metazoa; Chordata; Amphibia; Anura; Bufonidae
Exons: 4
Source: RefSeq, a predicted model, not a curated record